AAAAUGGCGGCGGCGGCGGCGGCGGCGGCUGGUGCUGCAGGGUCGGCAGCUCCCGCGGCAGCGGCCGGCGCCUCGGGAUCUGGGGGCGCACCCUCAGGGUCACAGGGGGUGCUGAUCGGGGACAGGCUGUACUCCGGGGUGCUCAUCACCUUGGAGAACUGCCUCCUGCCUGACGACAAGCUCCGUUUCACGCCGUCCAUGUCGAGCGGCCUCGACACCGACACAGAGACCGACCUCCGCGUGGUGGGCUGCGAGCUCAUCCAGGCGGCUGGUAUCCUGCUCCGCCUGCCGCAGGUGGCCAUGGCUACCGGGCAGGUGUUGUUCCAGCGCUUCUUUUAUACCAAGUCCUUCGUGAAGCACUCCAUGGAGCAUGUGUCAAUGGCCUGUGUCCACCUGGCUUCCAAGAUAGAAGAGGCCCCAAGACGCAUACGGGACGUCAUCAAUGUGUUUCACCGCCUUCGACAGCUGAGAGAGAAAAAGAAGCCCGUGCCUCUACUACUGGAUCAAGAUUAUGUUAAUUUAAAGAACCAAAUUAUAAAGGCGGAAAGACGAGUUCUCAAAGAGUUGGGUUUCUGCGUCCAUGUGAAGCAUCCUCAUAAGAUAAUCGUUAUGUACCUUCAGGUGUUAGAGUGUGAGCGUAACCAACACCUGGUCCAGACCUCAUGGGUAGCCUCUGAGGGUAAGUGACUAAGACUUCUCCUCUGCUGUCCAAGCGCUUUGGUGCAGGGACAGCGGCGUCUUCAGCCAAUCCAGUGCAGGCUCUCCACCGAAGGCUGGCUCUAGACUGGUGGUACGCACAUAGCAUAGCCAUGGCCGACUCCUGCUGUGGUUCUCUGACGAUUGUGCUUCUUGUUAAUCCUCUGUCGUGCUUUGGUAAUCGUAUUGAUUAGAGUUGGUAACUGUCUUGACUUGAAUUUUGUCCCUUUAAAACUGCUGUACCUGUAUGAUAAAGAUGCAGUACCUUUCUCUUAAAAAAAAAAAUGGUAUGGAAAGCUGUGAGAAUUGAAGAGACAAAUUGGCUGUGUCAGUGUGGGGUUAUGUCAUGAUUUCUAGAAGCCCUGAAGUUGCUCUUUUCAGCAGCUUUGCAUGACACGCUCUGGUAAAAGGUGUGCAUCUUUAAAUUAUUUCAUGGAUACUUUGAAAAAUAUUGUAUCACUUCAAAUACAGCAAUAAGUUUAUAUGUUCUCAAGAUUUCAUUUGUUUUUAAGAAUUUAAAGUUCGUGGAUUCAUAUCACUACUUGAAUACUGACAGUUGUUGAUUAGACACCGAAAGGUUACUGAUUAUUGAAUGUAUCUGUGUUAGAGCUGUGCACUGGCACGCUUGCAUCAGGGGCUGGGGCCACACGGCCGCCACACAGAUUCCCCCGUGAUGCCUGGAGCUGCUUCCAGAGCCGGGUGUCUCCAAGAGGUACCUGUAGGACUUCCCAUUUAGAAAUCUCUGAGUGGGUUUGUAUGUUACCUUCUCCAAGGUUUAUUUAGGACAGAGAUAUUGCGGGAAGGUCAUGGGUCAGAUUCCCUCACGACCCACCUCGUCUGCGGGUGCAGCCCCACCCCAAGGCUCCCCGUUAUUGGGGUAUGUGAGGAGCAGUAAAUAUAAAACCAGUUCACCUGUCCUCAUGGAAUUACCCUUUCUAUUUUUGCAGUAUUCAUAAAGCUAGUAUAAGGUCUGGUUUUAGUCUAUUAAAUCUUAGAGAUCUAAAGGAAAUGCUCAAAAUGUAGCCAGGUUUUAAAUGCUUCAACUUUUAAAAAAUGUAAAUUUUUGUAUGUUUAUAGCUUCUAAAUAUGAAAGUUAAAGAAUGUACUGUGAUGAAAUGUUCAGUAUUAUGUUGCUUCUCAGUAUUGUGUUGCUUCUGAUUCUAUGAAUGUUCAUUUUAAGACCCCUUGUUGAAAUGGGACAGUUGGCAGCGGCUCUGGUGAGCCCGAGAAGAGGCCUGCCCUUGGGUGCGGAGUCUCCCUCCGCACGAUGCUCCCACGCGUCCAACUUGCACCCAAGGGGCUUUUCCCUCUUCCAAGUGGACUCCUUCAAGGAAGCUGCAGCUCGGUCAGCAGAGAAGGGGCCUGCCGCCAGCGCCCUGGAGGAAGAGGAAGAGGAACCCAAGAGGAUGGCUUGUCUCCCAGCAGCCACACCGGCUUUGUGCUCAGCCAGUUCAUUUGAGUUUGCAUGUUUCUCUGCACUAUGGAUUUUGAGCAUUUAGAUUUCUUUAAUCAAAAGCGUUUUAGUGACUCCAGUAGACAUUUUCUUUCUGAGGCAUCGUGCUUUGCAUGAGAGCAGGCCAAGGUUGAGGGGAAAAGUAAAGUUAAAGUCGGUUCUCUUUCAUAGCAACACGUAUUGUCUGACAUUCAGCCAGCUUUUUUUUUUUCUAAUAAUUUCUGUGCCUUCCUGUCCUGUAUUUACUGUAUUUAGAAAAAGCAGCUAGAAUAUUUCUCCAUUAACUCUUGAGAUUCACAGGACUGUCUAGCUCUGAGUCCUAGCAAUAGACUCCUUAGAGGGGUAGUACAUUUAUCUCGAUUUUCUCUAGAUAAUGCAGGCGGAAGACCUGGGUUCCCGGGUGGGGCAUUGCAGUUCUUCCUGUGUUUGGCUUCCAGGAAUUACAUGAACGACAGCCUUCGCACCGACGUCUUCGUGCGCUUCCAGCCAGAGAGCAUCGCCUGCGCCUGCAUUUAUCUUGCUGCCCGGACGCUGGAGAUCCCUUUGCCCAAUCGUCCCCAUUGGUUUCUUUUGUUUGGAGCAAGUGAAGAAGAAAUUCAGGAAAUCUGCUUAAAGAUCUUGCAGCUUUAUGCUCGGAAAAAGGUUGAUCUCACACACCUGGAGGGUGAAGUGGAAAAAAGAAAGCACGCUAUCGAAGAGGCAAAGGCCCAAGCCCGGGGCCUGUUGCCUGGGGGCACACAGGUGCUGGAUGGUACCUCGGGGUUCUCUCCUGCCCCCAAGCUGGGCUGGAGUGCAAUGGCGCUGUCUCAGCUCACUGUAACCUCCGCCUCCCGGGUUCAAGCGAUUCUCCUGCCUCAGCCUCCCAAGUAGCUGGGAUUGCAGCCUGGAGUGCAGUGGCGCUAUCUGGGAUCACUGCAAGCUCCGCCUACCAGAUGCUGGUGAUUCUUGUGCCUCACCCUCCCAAGUAGCUGGGAUUACAGGCGCCCACCACCACGCUCAGUGGAAUCCCCCAAAGAAGGUAAAGGGAGCAAGCCUUCCCCACUGUCUGUGAAGAACACCAAGAGGAGGCUGGAGGGCGCCAAGAAAGCCAAGGCGGACAGCCCCGUGAACGGCUUGCCAAAGGGGCGAGAGAGUCGAAGUCGGAGCCGGAGCCGUGAGCAGAGCUACUCGAGGUCCCCAUCCCGAUCAGCGUCUCCUAAGAGGAGGAAAAGUGACAGCGGCUCCACAUCUGGUGGGUCCAAGUCGCAGAGCCGCUCCCGGAGCAGGAGUGACUCCCCACCGAGACAGGCCCCCCGCAGCGCUCCCUACAAAGGCUCUGAGAUUCGGGGCUCCCGGAAGUCCAAGGACUGCAAGUACCCCCAGAAGCCACACAAGUCUCGGAGCCGGAGUUCUUCCCGUUCUCGAAGCAGGUCACGGGAGCGGGCGGAUAAUCCGGGAAAAUACAAGAAGAAAAGUCAUUACUACAGAGAUCAGCGACGAGAGCGCUCGAGGUCGUAUGAACGCGCAGGCCGUCGCUAUGAGCGGGACCACCCUGGGCACAGCAGGCAUCGGAGGUGAGGCGGGGUUGCAGUGACUGGUGGCCGCAAGCCCUUCCCUGGGGAGUACCUGAUGGCUGCCCUUUGACCCCCGGUGGCUGCCCUUUGACCCCCGGGUGUGCUCUCUCAGCGCAAGUGGCCCUAGAGCAGGAUUCUUUUUGGAAAUGUCUGUCGACUGGACCUUGGUGGAUUUGGAAAUGGAACUGAGGGACCGGUGACACGUGCUUCAGACCGGUCUGGGGUGCGGCGCACACCUGGGCCGGUGCGGGGCUCAGCUCGGCAGCAGCUCUGAGGGCAGCUCAAUGAAAAAGUGAAUGCACACGCCCUUGGUGGCGUGGCCUGGCAUGGCCUGGUGCUAUCGGCAGCCGCUCCCCACUCCCCGACUGAUACUCAAUUACGUGAAGCCAAGAAGGAUGAUUUUUAGAACCUUUGCCUAUAUUAGGUUGUACUUAUGUACAUAUUUUGCAGUGUUUCACAGGAGAAAGUGGCCUUAACUGCCCCUUAUUCUCUCUCCACGUUGUAAAUAAACAUGUGUUUAAUACAAGUUAAAGCUAUAUAUGAAAACUCAGAACUUGAAUCCUGUCAGCUUAAAACUUGUGUAGGGAAUCCUGACUUUUUAAAAUGUGAGGGUAUUUGGAUCUGUGUUGAAAGUCGUAUAUUUUUAUCUGUGCGGUGCUGAGUGCAGGCCACCAGCUCCUAAAUAGAGGUUCCCUAUAUGCGCGUAUGACAUGGUGAAUAAACACAACUCUCUCCACUC
This 4441-nucleotide small RNA is filed under the name Pan troglodytes (chimpanzee). RNAcentral's name for it is "retained intron". Lineage: Eukaryota; Metazoa; Chordata; Mammalia; Primates; Hominidae. The record is from RNAcentral.